This 333-nucleotide long non-coding RNA is filed under the name Mytilus galloprovincialis (Mediterranean mussel). The record is from RNAcentral. Lineage: Eukaryota; Metazoa; Mollusca; Bivalvia; Mytilida; Mytilidae.
AAUAUGAAUGAGAUACAGCGUGGUUACUGUUUCUGUUAACUUUUGUUAAUUCGUACCUUUGGAUUUAUACAAUUCUUUGGAACUGUUUGUUAAUACUAAAGAAUGGUAAGUAAAGUAUUCUUUUUGUUGUUUCUUAUAAGCUUUUGUCAUGAUUUUUGAUUUUACAAAUUUGACCCAAAUUUUAUUACCUGUGAACAGUCUGUGACCUGUCUGUGACCUUUAUAUUGUAAACAUUAGAAUUAUCCUUAUUAUUCUUGUAUAUAAUAUGUUCAUAUAGUUUCACAUAAAAAAAGAAAAACAUCAUUAAACAUAUGAAAAUGUACAUAAUCUUUG